RNAcentral lists this ribosomal RNA (253 nucleotides) under uncultured bacterium. RNAcentral describes it as "partial 16S ribosomal RNA". It matches the Rfam family "Bacterial small subunit ribosomal RNA", at positions 524 to 776 of the family's 1533-position model. The record is from RNAcentral.
UACGUAGGAUGCAAGCGUUAAUCGGAAUCACUGGGCGUAAAGGGCGCGUAGGCGGGCUGACAAGUCUGGGGUGAAAUACCACGGCUCAACCGUGGAACUGCCUUAGAUACUGUCGGCCUCGAGGGAGGUAGGGGCGUGCGGAACUGUAGGUGGAGCGGUGAAAUGCGUUGAUAUCUACAGGAACUCCGGUGGCGAAAGCGGCGCGCUGGACCUCUUCUGACGCUGAGGCGCGAAAGCUAGGGGAGCAAACGGG